CUACCUUUCUCUUCCCCAAACUUCUCUCAUUUUCAUUUCCACACACCUCAAAUGGCAACAGCUUUCUCUGCUGCCAACUUCACCUCCCAUCUUUUCGACCUCAAUGGAUCUUCUGACAGGCGUCUCUUUGAUCCUCUCAAACCUCCACCUACCACCUCUUUCUUCGGAUCUACCCGCAAACUUCGAUUCGAUUCUCGUGCCGCAUCGAAUCGACUGGACGCCCGCCGUCGAUCUGCUGUCGUUGCCGUUUCCGACGUCGUUAAGGAGAAGAAGCUCAAGCAGAGCUCGAAUCUGGUACUUCCCUGAUCUGUUCCGUGUGAAAAUGCUUUCGAGAUUUUGCUUCUGUUGAUUUGUUUCCCUCUCUGCGUUUUCGUUCUCUUGUGAAACUCUCUCUGUCUGCGAAAUCUUAUUUAUCUAUUUUUAAAGCAGGAAUGAGAAGUUUGAAGCUAACUGAAGUAUAGCUCUGAAUUAGAAAAUUUAUAUUUUUUAAGUAUGUUUUGCUGUCUAUGGAGCAUUGAUGAAAAAAAUUUUGUCCCAAUUUUCAUUUCAAGCUACGUGCUACAAUUAUGCUUUAAAUGCGAAUACUUUCUGUUUUCUUUGUGUUUAAUAUAGCGUCGAUUACCAAUUGUAUAUUCAUUUUCUCAAUGUUACGGGUCUUACCUGAAUACAGAAGGAUUUGCAUUUUGUUGGUGAAAAUUUUUGGUAAUGCAUCAGUCAGUUUCUUUGGGUACAAGGAAAAUUGUUUCUUGGAACAAAAUUAUGAUUGGAAAAGAAAAAAGAGCCU
Molecule: long non-coding RNA, 784 nt
Filed under: Carica papaya (papaya)
Lineage: Eukaryota; Viridiplantae; Streptophyta; Magnoliopsida; Brassicales; Caricaceae
Description: long non-coding RNA (CPAP_LNC004656)
Source: RNAcentral